GAUGAACGCUGGCGGCGUGCCUAAUACAUGCAAGUCGAGCGAACAGACGAGGAGCUUGCUCCUCUGACGUUAGCGGCGGACGGGUGAGUAACACGUGGAUAACCUACCUAUAAGACUGGGAUAACUUCGGGAAACCGGAGCUAAUACCGGAUAAUAUAUUGAACCGCAUGGUUCAAUAGUGAAAGACGGUUUUGCUGUCACUUAUAGAUGGAUCCGCGCCGCAUUAGCUAGUUGGUAAGGUAACGGCUUACCAAGGCAACGAUGCGUAGCCGACCUGAGGGGGUGAUCGGCCCCCCUGGAACUGGGCAGCGGUCCCGGCUCCUGCGGGGAGGCGCAAAUUGGAAUGCUGCGCAACUGGGGGAAACCUUGCCGAAGCAACGCGCGUGUGGUGAAGAAGUUUUGCGUACGUAAAAACUUUUUUAUUGGGGAAGAACAAUUUCGAAAGUAACGAGGCAAGCUUGACGGUAACCAAUCAGAAAGCCACGGCUAACUACGUG
Molecule: ribosomal RNA, 497 nt
Filed under: uncultured bacterium
Lineage: Bacteria
Description: partial 16S ribosomal RNA
Rfam family: Bacterial small subunit ribosomal RNA
Source: RNAcentral